This 72-nucleotide transfer RNA is filed under the name Metanephrops sibogae (Siboga lobster). Its description in RNAcentral is "tRNA-Val". Lineage: Eukaryota; Metazoa; Arthropoda; Malacostraca; Decapoda; Nephropidae. The record is from RNAcentral.
CAAAAUAAAGCUUUAUAGGGAGCAUCUCACUUACGUUGAGAAGGUUUACCGUGGGAUUCGGUUAUAUUUUGA